UACGGAGGAUGCGAGCGUUAUCCGGAUUUAUUGGGUUUAAAGGGUGCGUAGGCGGAACAUUAAGUCAGCGGUAAAAUCGAGGGGCUCAACCCCUUUAAGCCGUUGAAACUGCAUCCCUUGAGUGCGCGAGAAGUAUGCGGAAUGCGUGGUGUAGCGGUGAAAUGCAUAGAUAUCACGCAGAACGCCGAUUGCGAAGGCAGCAUACCGGCGCCCAACUGACGCUGAAGCACGAAAGCGUGGGUAUCGAACAGG
Molecule: ribosomal RNA, 252 nt
Filed under: uncultured Bacteroidales bacterium
Lineage: Bacteria; Pseudomonadati; Bacteroidota; Bacteroidia; Bacteroidales
Description: partial 16S ribosomal RNA
Rfam family: Bacterial small subunit ribosomal RNA
Source: RNAcentral